AUACGUAGGGAGCGAGCGUUACCCGGAAUUACUGGGCGUAAAGUGCGCGUAGGCGGCUUGGUAAGUCCCUUUUGAAAGCUCCCGGCUUAGCUGGGAGAGGUGAGGGGAAACUACUUGGCUUGAGGACAGCAGAGGAAAGCGGAAUUCUCGGUGUAGCGGUGAAAUGCGUAGAUAUCGAGAGGAACACCAGUGGCGAAGGCGGCUUUCUGGGCUGCACCUGACGCUGAGGCGCGAGAGCGUGGGGAGCAAACAGGAUUAGAAACCCCAGUAGUCC
This 274-nucleotide ribosomal RNA is filed under the name uncultured bacterium. Its description in RNAcentral is "partial 16S ribosomal RNA". It matches the Rfam family "Bacterial small subunit ribosomal RNA", at positions 523 to 796 of the family's 1533-position model. The record is from RNAcentral.